Molecule: ribosomal RNA, 426 nt
Filed under: uncultured bacterium
Lineage: Bacteria
Description: bacterial SSU rRNA
Rfam family: Bacterial small subunit ribosomal RNA
Source: RNAcentral
GUGAGGAAUUUUCCGCAAUGGACGCAAGUCUGACGGAGCAACGCCGCGUGCAGGAGGACGCUUUUCGGAGUGUAAACUGCUUUUCUGUGGGACGAGCAAGGACGGUACCACAGGAAGAAGCCCCGGCUAACUACGUGCCAGCAGCCGCGGUAAUACGUAGGGGGCGAGCGUUGUCCGGAGUUACUGGGCGUAAAGGGCAUGCAGGCGGUCGGACGCGUUUCCAGUGACAGCGGGUGGCUUACCUACCCGAGUAUUGGAAAGACGGUUUGACUUGAGGACUCGAGAGGGACACGGAAUUCCGGGUGGAGUGGUGAAAUGCGUAGAGAUCCGGAGGAACAUCGAAGGCGAAGGCAGUGUCCUGGCGAGUAACUGACGCUGAGGUGCGAAAGCUAGGGGAGCGAACGGGAUUAGAUACCCUAGUAGUCC